RNAcentral lists this ribosomal RNA (418 nucleotides) under uncultured Pseudomonadota bacterium. RNAcentral's name for it is "bacterial SSU rRNA". It matches the Rfam family "Bacterial small subunit ribosomal RNA", at positions 71 to 481 of the family's 1533-position model. The record is from RNAcentral. Lineage: Bacteria; Pseudomonadati; Pseudomonadota.
AAAGCCCCUUCGGGGUGAGUAGAGCGGCGGACGGGUGNANNUAACGCGUAGGAAUCUACCUGGUAGUGGGGGACAACUCGGGGAAACUCGAGCUAAUACCGCAUACGCCCUACGGGGGAAAGCGGGGGACCUUCGGGCCUCGCGCUAUCAGAUGAGCCUGCGUUGGAUUAGCUUGUUGGUGAGGUAAAGGCUCACCAAGGCGACGAUCCAUAGCUGGUCUGANAGGAUGAUCAGCCACACCGGGACUGAGACACGGCCCGGACUCCUACGGGAGGCAGCAGUGGGGAAUAUUGCGCAAUGGGCGGAAGCCCGACGCAGCCAUGCCGCGUGUGUGAAGAAGGCCUUCNGGGUUGUAAAGCACUUUCCCUUUGGGAAGAAAGGCUGCCGGUUAAUACCUGGGCAGCUGUGACAUUACCUU